CCCUGGAUGACUAGUGGUUAGGCCUCGGCGCUCUCACCACCAUGGCCUGGGUUCGAUUCCUGGUCUCGGAA
Molecule: non-coding RNA, 71 nt
Organism: Pangasianodon gigas (Mekong giant catfish)
Lineage: Eukaryota; Metazoa; Chordata; Actinopteri; Siluriformes; Pangasiidae
Source: the annotation of a GenBank genome assembly